This 497-nucleotide ribosomal RNA is filed under the name uncultured bacterium. RNAcentral's name for it is "partial 16S ribosomal RNA". It matches the Rfam family "Bacterial small subunit ribosomal RNA", at positions 28 to 507 of the family's 1533-position model. The record is from RNAcentral.
GAUGAACGCUGGCGGCGUGCCUAAUACAUGCAGGUCGAGUGAACGGACGAGAAGCUUGCUUCUCUGAUGUUAGCGGCGGACGGGUGAGUAACACGUGGAUAACCUACCUAUAAGACUGGGAUAACUUCGGGAAACCGGAGCUAAUACCGGAUGAUAUUUUGAACCGCAUGGUUCAAAAGUGAAAGACGGUCUUGCUGUCACUUAUAGAUGGAUCCGCGCUGCAUUAGCUAGUUGGUAAGGUAACGGCUUACCAAGGCAACGAUGCAUAGCCGACCUGAGAGGGUGAUCGGCCACACUGGAACUGAGACACGGUCCAGACUCCUACGGGAGGCAGCAGUAGGGAAUCUUCCGCAAUGGGCGAAAGCCUGACGGAGCAACGCCGCGUGAGUGAUGAAGGUCUUCGGAUCGUAAAACUCUGUUAUUAGGGAAGAACAUAUGUGUAAGUAACUGUGCACAUCUUGACGGUACCUAAUCAGAAAGCCACGGCUAACUACGUG